UACGUAGGGGGCGAGCGUUGUCCGGAAUGAUUGGGCGUAAAGGGCGCGUAGGCGGCGCGGUAAGUCUGGAGUGAAAGUCCUGCUUUCAAGGUGGGAAUUGCUUUGGAUACUGCCGCGCUUGAGUGCAGGAGAGGUUAUCGGAAUUCCCGGGGUAGCGGUGAAAUGCGUAGAGAUCGGGAGGAACACCAGUGGCGAAGGCGGGUAACUGGACUGCAACUGACGCUGAGGCGCGAAAGUGUGGGGAGCAAACAGGAUUAGAUACCCUGGUAGUCCACACUGUAAACGAUGAAUGCUAGGUGUAAGAGGUAUCGACCCCUUUUGUGCCGGAGUCAACACAAUAAGCAUUCCGCCUGGGGAGUACGGCCGCAAGGUUGAAACUCAAAGGAAUUGACGGGG
This 396-nucleotide ribosomal RNA is filed under the name uncultured bacterium. Its description in RNAcentral is "partial 16S ribosomal RNA". It matches the Rfam family "Bacterial small subunit ribosomal RNA", at positions 524 to 918 of the family's 1533-position model. The record is from RNAcentral.